CGGGGCACAGCGAGCGCACAAAAGCUGCUUUGUCCCCUCUGCACGGCUCUGGGGGACACCUGUAGCUGAUCCAGCCUGGAAACUGCAGGCACUCCAGCUCCCACUGCAGGAAGAUGACUGAGCUCAGCAGCUCAGGAAAAAAACGAUGGACCCCCUGCCUGAAUCCUAAAGCUCCUACAUGCACUUUAGGAUGCACCUGAAAUGGCAUUUAUGCCGUAUUACAGCAAGACUCUUUAAACCUUGCUGGUAAGUUUCUGAAAUCCCAUUCAUUUAUGUUAUCCCAGCUUGAGUGCCUGCCUGUGGUGUUUGUAACUGACUUAGUUUAAUCUAAGCAGAUUUAGCACUAAUAACUAGAGCUCACUAAUGCAUAUUGCAAUUAUGUAUCACACUGGGAAAUCCUGUCCCCCAAGCAAAAACAUUGCUGCCUCCCACUAGUAGAAGCAACAAAUACUAAUCUAAAAAGAUCCCCAGAUGUUCCAGACACUGCUCACUCCCAUUCACAAGUAACUUCUUCUAUGGCAUUCAAGGAGGCAAAGCUUAAGCAGCACGUUUUAUCCCAGUUUUAAUGAUAUAUGGAUUUAAUUCAGGAUUCCUGGUAACACUCCCGCUGAACUUUCACAUUUGUCCUCCAUCCAUUUUCUCCACAAUGAAUGCUCUGCAUUAGCAGCAGCUGCUCCCCAUUUGCUCUUUAUGAAACGUAUGAGAUAACAAAAAUGUUUAAAGUGGAUUUUUGCCUUAGAACAAAAUUACUUUUCUGUCUGUCAUAAACUAAAGGAAGUGAGUCUGAGGAGAAGAAUUAUGCAGCAACGAGCUCCAAAGUUUGCAGAAGUAAACUGAUGGAUUUUAGACUGCUUCUCCAUAACCUCAAGUAUUUCCCUUUAAUUUUUCAGGUGUUUUGUGUGAUGCAUCCUGGUUGGUUACUUACUGCAUGUGUGUAUCUGAUGAUUGAUUGAUUGAUGGGAGAGCUGACAUCAGUUUCAAUCCCUGCUAAACCCUAGUGUUCCAUCACUACAGAAAUUCUGGCACUCAUGCUCCCUGGCCCAUACACAGAACAGCACCACAUAUAAAGCACUGGUAUGCACACACUAGCUCAGUCUUGUUCAAAACCAUUAGCAAAAUAUCUCAGUGCUGGUCAGCUUUGUGCCUAAUCUGCACCUCCUAGCAUGGAUUAAAUCAACUCUGUGUUGUGCCUAGUGGACAAUUCAACAAAAAUACCAUUCUCAAUUUACAUUUGACCCUUAACAACAGGGAAAAUGGACAUCAACACAGGAGCUCAGGUCUAAUAUUAAUGAUUGUGCAGCUUGAAAGACAAGGUCUAGGUUAAUUCCACUGAAAUUUGAGUACUUUGACAAGACAUCCAAAAUCAGCAGCCACCUUAUCCCAGACUUCCACUAUAAUCAAAGGAAAGCUGUACCUACCCCCAGAAUGCUAUUUAACUUAGCUGAUUUUCCACCUGAAUGUGCUUGCCUCUCCCUACUACUAGAAGGGCCCUCAGGCAAUAACUCAGUACUACAGUCAGACAGUAAACUCUGGAACUGAGCAUGGGGUAACACUGCAUCUCUCCUAAGUUUUAUAGGAACACGAAAAGCUGAGGAGGAAAAUAAAUCAUGUAAACCUCUAUUUUGCAGUAAUGCCAGAACAGUGCUGCUGAACAAAACCUGAGAGCACCUCCCUCUCAGAGAAUCUGGGUCUUUACAGCUCAAAUACACUCAGUCAAAGUAUAAACCCAUCCAAAUUAACCAAAACCACUCCCUCUGACCAGAGGGCACCCUGCCUCCCCUCCAUGCUCACUGCAGGUGUUACCUGCCAUGAGAAAUGCCACCCCAGCACGGUUCCUUGCUAUCCAUCCUUUGUAAAUCCACAGCAGCAAAAUCACAGGAAUAAACCACACUGAUUCAAGGGAGAUGAAGCCUUUCAAUAUGCCUCUAGCCUAAAGCUGCCUCUCAGGACAGCAAGUACACUUUUAUUAAGCAGCUCUACAUGGUGAUCUGUGUGAAAUGAGCUCCAGAUCCCAGUGACUGUUCUCCCAAUGCAACUGUGUGCUGAUGGCCUGAAGCACUGCGAGGACUGACCUCCCUCAUCCUCCAGGACAACAGAAUGUUUUACUAUAGGGAAACAGGCUGCACGUGUGGAUUUGCUACCUGUGAAAGCACUUCUUCUGAGAAGAGUGAAAACUUCACUUUCAAGUGCUGUAAACAUCAUAAACACUGGAAACAUUUCAAAGUAAAGCCACAGCUGCCUUUGUCACUAUCACUUUGGCACACUUCACCCCUGAGGUGUCCAGCAAACACACUCUCCUAUGGAAAUGUACUGUUUUGUCCCAGAGCUGGUUAAUGAAGGUUUGUAAGCAAUGCUGCUGAAAUCCCUGGCAGAUAUGCAAGUCACCUCUCCUCAAGGCAGAUGCUGUAGGCUUCUCAGCUUACCCCUUUGAUUUCCACCUUCCUCUAUAUGAACUACCACUCACAACUCACCAGCAAGCAAUUUGUUUUUCUACCAAUAUUAGAAAGGCAAAGGAAAAUAAAGACCCUCAUGGAGAAAGGAUUUUUCUCUAAAAAGAAAGUUUACAGAAGCACAUCAACACACCUGAACAAAGUUUGUGUAUUAGAAGAUAACCUUGCUGCAGCCUGUGUUGUAUUUAUAGGGCUUUUUGAAGCUACUUGCCAUGAAACAAUUUCCUUUCUUUUAAAGAGAGCACUUACCC
Molecule: long non-coding RNA, 2701 nt
Organism: Passer domesticus (house sparrow)
Lineage: Eukaryota; Metazoa; Chordata; Aves; Passeriformes; Passeridae
Exons: 3
Source: RefSeq, a predicted model, not a curated record